Long non-coding RNA from Myotis brandtii (Brandt's bat), 1135 nucleotides. RefSeq lists it as uncharacterized. The record is from RefSeq and is a predicted model, not a curated record. NCBI's taxonomy places the organism in Eukaryota, Metazoa, Chordata, Mammalia, Chiroptera, Vespertilionidae. The transcript has 2 exons.
GGCAAGACACAGACCUUCAACACACUGAGGGACACGCCACGUGAAAAACUCCAAAUGCAAACUGAUUAAAGUAAAAAAGAAGCUAUUUUAUUUAAAAGCAUGUCCUUGCCUUCUUAACACUGAUAACACUGUACCAAUGAGUCAUUCAAAACCCAACUGAAGGCAGAUCACUGGUGGGAGGAGGGUAUUUUAAGGAAGAAGCUGGGUGGGUUCUAAGGACGUCCUUUCAUGGGAAGUGGGCACGCUAUUAGAGCGAAGCGAUCGGAAAGUUUCUCAUGGUGCGCCCAUCGCUGUGCCCGGGUUUGCAGAGGGGCCCGGCCGAGGCUGGCAGUGUGGGCAACGGCCUGUCACCCACUCCCUUUCAUGGGGAAUCCCUGGUUGAACCAAGACAGCCGUUCCCACACGUGAGGGAGAGAGGGCAGAGGGCUCUGCAGCUUUCUGCCCUCCCCUCUUGGACUUGGCAAUGGUUCCUUAAUCAACAGCAGCGACCUGUUCCACUUGGAUGCCUUUUCACAACAACGGAACCUGUAAGCCUUUGUGCUCUGCAGCGGGAACCCAAUGCUAGGAGAUGAGGCCGAGCAUCGCUGGCCUAUCACACAGGGAGCAGCACCUCUGCUGCAGGUGCCCUUCCCCAGGAGGGACCACACACUGGGAAAACGGCCUCUGAAAAAGCAAUGCUUUGGAAAGAGCAAUCACGCCCUGCAGGACCCACGGCCCUCACGAUGCUGGGUGUUAAGCAUCGGCUCUUCCCCUCGUGGGGAGACCGCCCGCAGCUGCUCGCCGAAGGGAAGGUUUCCUAUGCUCUUCCCAACAUCCACCCUUUUCUCCCUCUCUCUCUCUCUCUCUCUCUCUUUGAAGAAAGCCAUGACUGAUUUUGCAAAAACCCCCAGGAUGCCUGACUAUCUUUUGCCACUGGCGUGGGCACUGUCACCCUCGGCCCUUCUGUCCCUGCAGGAAGCGGUCCCGUCGUGAAGCGGAGCCCAGGCGCACUUUCUGGAUCAGACCCACCAAGUCCAAGGGCCUGAACAGCUCAAACAUGACUUCGAUCCCAAGUAUGGCCACAAAGGGCACCGUGUUUCACCACGGGAUCUAAUAUUAAAAAGUGAAUUAAAAAGAAUUUAUUGCUAUUCUAUCA